This 637-nucleotide ribosomal RNA is filed under the name Colpochila sp. NLG-2014. Its description in RNAcentral is "eukaryotic LSU rRNA". It matches the Rfam family "Eukaryotic large subunit ribosomal RNA", at positions 671 to 1265 of the family's 3401-position model. Lineage: Eukaryota; Metazoa; Arthropoda; Insecta; Coleoptera; Scarabaeidae. The record is from RNAcentral.
GAGUCUAGCAUGUGCGCGAGUCAUUGGGACUCUAGCGAAACCUAAAGGCGCAAUGAAAGUGAAGGUCCGCCUCGCGCGGACCGAGGGAGGAUGGGCGGUCCCGCGGGACCGCCUCGCACUCCCGGGGCGUCUCGUUCUCAUCGCGAGAAGAGGCGCACCCAGAGCGUACACGCUGGGACCCGAAAGAUGGUGAACUAUGCCUGGUCAGGACGAAGUCAGGGGAAACCCUGAUGGAGGUCCGUAGCGAUUCUGACGUGCAAAUCGAUCGUCGGAACUGGGUAUAGGGGCGAAAGACUAAUCGAACCAUCUAGUAGCUGGUUCCCUCCGAAGUUUCCCUCAGGAUAGCUGGCGCUCGCUUCUCGCGAGUCUCAUUCGGUAAAGCGAAUGAUUAGAGGCAUUGGGGUCGAAACGGCCUCAACCUAUUCUCAAACUUUAAAUGGGUGAGAUCUCCGGCUUGCUUGAACUGUGAAGCCGCGAGAUAUCGGAUCAGAGUGCCAAGUGGGCCACUUUUGGUAAGCAGAACUGGCGCUGUGGGAUGAACCAAACGCCGAGUUAAAGCGCCUAAAUCGACGCUUAUGGGAUACCAUGAAAGGCGUUGGUAACUUAAGACAGCAGGACGGUGGCCAUGGAAGUCGGA